This 231-nucleotide ribosomal RNA is filed under the name uncultured Enterobacterales bacterium. RNAcentral's name for it is "partial 16S ribosomal RNA". It matches the Rfam family "Bacterial small subunit ribosomal RNA", at positions 99 to 334 of the family's 1533-position model. The record is from RNAcentral. Lineage: Bacteria; Pseudomonadati; Pseudomonadota; Gammaproteobacteria; Enterobacterales.
CGGACGGGUGAGUAAUGUCUGGGAAACUGCCUGAUGGAGGGGGAUAACUACUGGAAACGGUAGCUAAUACCGCAUAACGUCGCAAGACCAAAGAGGGGGACCUUCGGGCCUCUUGCCAUCAGAUGUGCCCAGAUGGGAUUAGCUAGUAGGUGGGGUAACGGCUCACCUAGGCACGAUCCCUAGCUGGUCUGAGAGGAUGACCAGCCACACUGGAACUGAGACACGGUCCAG